This is an RNA transcript of Amborella trichopoda, 913 nucleotides long. It is a transcript of the gene named histone-lysine N-methyltransferase, with no coding region annotated. The record is from RefSeq and is a predicted model, not a curated record. NCBI's taxonomy places the organism in Eukaryota, Viridiplantae, Streptophyta, Magnoliopsida, Amborellales, Amborellaceae.
ACAGCCAUAGGCUCUUACAACCAUCCAUCUCUCUCGAGAAAUGGCCUCAGUCUCAUUUAAACCCAAAAAGUUGUCUGGUUUGCUUCCCCACACCUCUUUCUCUCUCACCACCACCUCUCUCCCUCUCCCUCACGGCCUCUCUCCUCUCUCUGUCACGGCACCUCUCUCUCUCUCUCUCUCUCUCCCUCUCCCCACUACCUCUCUCUCUCCCUCCCUCUCCCUCACGGGCUCUCUCCUGUCUCAGGCUGGGAAGCUUGGAUCUAUCAGAGAUUUGGGUUUCGUUUUUGAUGGGCUGGGAGUGAAGGGGUUGUGAUAGGAGGCUGAAUGCAACAAUCUGGUGGUGUUACAGUGGAGAUCUGGAUUGUUGGGUCUCAAGUAAAUCAGGUAGCUCACAGAACCUGAAAAUUAGAUGUAGGUCAAAACCUUUUCAACCAGACAAGAUGUCAUCAGCUUCGAGAGAGGAUAUCCACGCCGCACAUGUCCACGUUGCCACUUAUCAUGUACAUAAAGUUAUCCAGCCAACCCUGGAAGAUUGUACUAGCGAUGCCCAGGGUUACUUCUUUUUAGUGGUGCGACGGAUAUGUAGAAGGGCUGAACUAGAAUGUGAACUUGAGGAUUCGUAAUCAAUCACAUGCAUUGCAAGAACAUCCCAUGGUCAAGCCCGAAUGGAUGAUCAUUCAAGAUUGAAUUGUUGAUGAUCUAUGGCGUAUACAACAAUUUCUAUUAUUUUGUGUGUAACAAAUACAUGUAUUUUUGUGCUACUACUUCUAAAAAGGUUAUGAGGGGAAUAUAGUGUGGUCCUGUAACUCAAAAAACAAUUUCCUAUGAUAUUAGCGUGAAAGGCUAUGAACCUUGUUAUUUUUAUUGUUUUGUUAUCGAAUGACAUGUAAUGUAUGUGAUAUUUUUGCAGUUU